This 500-nucleotide ribosomal RNA is filed under the name uncultured bacterium. Its description in RNAcentral is "partial 16S ribosomal RNA". It matches the Rfam family "Bacterial small subunit ribosomal RNA", at positions 30 to 523 of the family's 1533-position model. The record is from RNAcentral.
AUUGAACGCUGGCGGCAUGCUUUACACAUGCAAGUCGAACGGUAACAGGGUGCUUGCACCGCUGACGAGUGGCGAACGGGUGAGUAAUGCGUCGGAACGUGCCGAGUAGUGGGGGAUAACGCAGCGAAAGUUGUGCUAAUACCGCAUACGUACUGAGGUAGAAAGUGGGGGACCUUCGGGCCUCACGCUAUUCGAGCGGCCGACGUCUGAUUAGCUAGUAGGUGAGGUAAAGGCUCACCUAGGCGACGAUCAGUAGCGGGUCUGAGAGGAUGAUCGGCCACACUGGGACUGAGACACGGCCCAGACUCCUACGGGAGGCAGCAGUGGGGAAUUUUGGACAAUGGGCGAAAGCCUGAUCCAGCCAUGCCCCGUGUCUGAAGAAGGCCUUCGGGUUGUAAAGGACUUUUGUCAGGGAGGAAAUCCCUAGUGCUAAUAACACUGGGGGAUGACAGUACCUGAAGAAUAAGCACCGGCUAACUACGUGCCAGCAGCCGCAGUAA